RNAcentral lists this ribosomal RNA (478 nucleotides) under uncultured bacterium. Its description in RNAcentral is "partial 16S ribosomal RNA". It matches the Rfam family "Bacterial small subunit ribosomal RNA", at positions 30 to 507 of the family's 1533-position model. The record is from RNAcentral.
UGAACGCUAGCGGCAGGCCUAACACAUGCAAGUCGAGGGAGAGGUUACCUUCGGGUAACCACAACCGGCGCACGGGUGCGUAACGCGUAUACAAUCUGCCUUUCACAUAGGGAUAGCCCGAAGAAAUUUGGAUUAAUACCUAAUGGUAUAUAAGAGCGGCAUCGUUUUUAUAUUAAAGCUACGGUGGUGAAAGAUGAGUAUGCGUUCUAUUAGCUAGUUGGAGAGGUAACGGCUCCCCAAGGCGACGAUAGAUAGGGGUUCUGAGAGGGAUGUCCCCCACACUGGUACUGAGAUACGGACCAGACUCCUACGGGAGGCAGCAGUGAGGAAUAUUGGACAAUGGUCGGAAGACUGAUCCAGCCAUGCCGCGUGCAGGAUGAAGGUCCUAUGGAUUGUAAACUGCUUUUGUAAGGGAAGAAUAAGGAGUACGUGUACUUUGAUGACGGUACCUUACGAAUAAGCAUCGGCUAACUCCGUG